Long non-coding RNA from Eurytemora carolleeae, 345 nucleotides. RefSeq lists it as uncharacterized. Lineage: Eukaryota; Metazoa; Arthropoda; Copepoda; Calanoida; Temoridae. The record is from RefSeq and is a predicted model, not a curated record. The transcript has 2 exons.
AUUAAGGAUACAAUAGCAGCGGGUGACAGUUUUAUCGCUGGAUUUAUAUAUACUCUAAUACAUCGGGGCACCCUGGACCACUGUGUAAAAAAUGCGAUUUGGACUGCUCAAAAAAUGAUCCGACAAUCGGGUUCAUCUCUUCCCUCCACCCUUCCAGAUCUUCCAGAAGCUCAAUGUCGUCUUCCAAAAAAUCCGUCAAAUCUCUUAUCACCAAAGAAGAAAGGCGUGCCAAUGGAGAAAGCAAAAAAAUCGCUAAAAAUUAAAUCGUAAAAGCAUUUUUACAACGUAUGCACUUAAACACAAAUAUUAUAGAUAUAGCAUUAAUAAAGAUUAUUUAGACUAGAA